UACAGAGGGUGCGAGCGUUGUUCGGAAUUACUGGGCGUAAAGCGCGUGUAGGCGGUUGCCCAAGUCGGGUGUGAAAGCCUUGAGCUCAACUCAAGAAAUGCACUCGGUACUGGGUGACUAGAGGACCGGAGAGGAUAGUGGAAUUCCCAGUGUAGUGGUGAAAUACGUAGAGAUUGGGAAGAACACCAGUGGCGAAGGCGGCUAUCUGGACGGUUUCUGACGCUAAGACGCGAAAGCGUGGGGAGCAAACAGG
This 253-nucleotide ribosomal RNA is filed under the name uncultured bacterium. RNAcentral's name for it is "partial 16S ribosomal RNA". It matches the Rfam family "Bacterial small subunit ribosomal RNA", at positions 524 to 776 of the family's 1533-position model. The record is from RNAcentral.